This is a long non-coding RNA of Nerophis ophidion (straightnose pipefish), 1128 nucleotides long. RefSeq lists it as uncharacterized. Lineage: Eukaryota; Metazoa; Chordata; Actinopteri; Syngnathiformes; Syngnathidae. The record is from RefSeq and is a predicted model, not a curated record. The transcript is spliced from 3 exons.
CCUAUGUAGUCAAGUCAGUCAAGCAUGGAUAGCAGGCGUCGGCGGUCGAAAGCGUGGCUUUAUUUUACUAAAAAAAAUUAAAUACCGGCGAAAUGUAACACGUGCGAUAGGACUGUUUUGUGCUUAGGAGGGUGCACGUCGAAGCACCUCCGAGUUCACGGUGUACGAAUAAAUGCUUAUCCCUUCUUUGACGCGCUGCACCGACCGUCCUCCUCUGCCUCUUCAUCUGGCUCCGGCUCCGACGCCCAGCCUGGCACCUCGGUGACUGCACUGCAGUCCGAAUCCGACAAUUUACAACCUGCUGGCCAGGCUCCGCGAUGUGCUCAGCGUACUCCGUUCACCAUAGUGGCAAUGGGGAAGAUGUCGGUGCCACAGACGGAAGAGUGCCACAGAAAGGUCACUGCACACAUAGUCAAAAGACUGCAUCCCUUUUCAGAGGUGGAAUCUCCAACAUUUAGGGAUAUGGUGAAAACUCUCAACCCAAAAUACAUACCACCUUCCAGGUACUACCUGUCAAACACAUUGAUCCCAUGGUUCAAUAAGAAUCGGAAUCGAGAAUCGUCAGGAAUCGGAAUCGAAACAAAGAAUCGGAAUCGUUCGAUUUCAAACGAUACCCAACCCUACUCACGUGCAGUGAUUUCUCCAGAUUCUCUUAACCUUUUGAUGAUAUCACAGACUGUAGAUAGUGAAAUCCCUAAAUUCCUUGCAAUAGCUGGUUGAGAAAUGUUGUUCUUAAACUGUUCGACAAUUUGCUCACGCAUUUGUUCAAAGUGGUGACCCUCACCCCAUCCUUGUUUGUGAAUGACUGAGCAUUUUAUGGAAGCUGCUUUUAAACCCAAUCAUGGCACCCACCUGUUCCCAAUUAGCCUAUUUACCCGUGGGAUGUUCCAAAUAAGUGUUUGAUGAGCAUUCCUCAACUUUUUCAGUCUUUGCCCCUUGUGCCAGCUUUUUUGAAAUAUGUUGCAGGUAUCAAAUUCCAAAUGAGCUAAUAUUUGCAAAAAAUACAGUUUACCAGUUUGUACGUUAUGUUUUUGUCUUUGCAGUCUUUUCAAUUGAAUAUACGUUGAAAAGGAUUUGCAAAUCAUUGUAUUUUGUUUUUAUUUACCAUUUACACAACGUGCCAACUUC